UUUACAAUGGAAGAUAAAACUGUGUGAAUGCUCAUAUCAAAGAACAACUGCAAGCAUGCUCUGUCUCGUUGGAAAUCCUCUGUUGCUGUGAAGAAUUUUUCAGCUCUACAACCUAAUUUUCUCUGCGCAAAACUUUGACACUUAAUUUAGCGAAGCAAUCUACAUGAAUAAUAAUUGUAAUUCAAAAUAACAUG
Long non-coding RNA from Etheostoma spectabile (orangethroat darter), 194 nucleotides. RefSeq lists it as uncharacterized. NCBI's taxonomy places the organism in Eukaryota, Metazoa, Chordata, Actinopteri, Perciformes, Percidae. The record is from RefSeq and is a predicted model, not a curated record. The transcript has 3 exons.